This 253-nucleotide ribosomal RNA is filed under the name uncultured bacterium. Its description in RNAcentral is "partial 16S ribosomal RNA". It matches the Rfam family "Bacterial small subunit ribosomal RNA", at positions 524 to 776 of the family's 1533-position model. The record is from RNAcentral.
UACGUAGGGUGCGAGCGUUGUCCGGAAUUAUUGGGCGUAAAGGGCUCGUAGGCGGUUUGUCGCGUCGGGAGUGAAAACGCCGUGCUUAACACGGCGCUUGCUUUCGAUACGGGCAGACUAGAGGUAUGCAGGGGAGAACGGAAUUCCUGGUGUAGCGGUGAAAUGCGCAGAUAUCAGGAGGAACACCGGUGGCGAAGGCGGUUCUCUGGGCAUGAUCUGACGCUGAGGAGCGAAAGUGUGGGGAGCGAACAGG